ACGGGACCGCACAAGCGGUGGAUGAUGUGGAUUAAUUCGAUGCAACGCGAAAACCUUACUACCCUUGACAUGUCCGGAAUCCCGAAGAGAUUUGGGAGUGCUCGCAAGAGAACCGGAACACAGGUGCUGCAUGGCUGUCGUCAGCUCGUGUCGUGAGAUGUUGGGUUAAGUCCCGCAACGAGCGCAACCCUUGUCAUUAGUUGCCAUCAUUUGGUUGGGCACUCUAAUGAGACUGCCGGUGACAAACCGGAGGAAGGUGGGGAUGACGUCAAGUCCUCAUGGCCCUUAUGGGUAGGGCUUCACACGUCAUACAAUGGUCGGUACAGAGGGUUGCCAACCCGCGAGGGGGAGCUAAUCCCACAAAGCCGAUCGUAGUCCGGAUCGCAGUCUGCAACUCGACUGCGUGAAGUCGGAAUCGCUAGUAAUCGUGGAUCAGCAUGUCACGGUGAAUACGUUCCCGGGUCUU
Molecule: ribosomal RNA, 466 nt
Filed under: uncultured Rhodocyclaceae bacterium
Lineage: Bacteria; Pseudomonadati; Pseudomonadota; Betaproteobacteria; Rhodocyclales; Rhodocyclaceae
Description: bacterial SSU rRNA
Rfam family: Bacterial small subunit ribosomal RNA
Source: RNAcentral